This 538-nucleotide ribosomal RNA is filed under the name uncultured bacterium. Its description in RNAcentral is "bacterial SSU rRNA". It matches the Rfam family "Bacterial small subunit ribosomal RNA", at positions 28 to 561 of the family's 1533-position model. The record is from RNAcentral.
GAUGAACGCUAGCGGCAGGCCUAAUACAUGCAAGACGAACGGUAAAUAUUAUAGCAAUAUGAUAUGAGAGUGUCGUACGGGUGCGUAACACGUAUGCAACCUACCCUUUACAGGAGGAUAGCUCAGGGAAAACUUGGAUUAACCCUCCAUAGUACUAUGAUGUGGCAUCAUGUUAUAGUUAAAACUGCGGUGGUAAAGGAUGGGCAUGCGUAUGAUUAGCUAGUUGGUAGUGUAACGGACUACCAAGGCGAUGAUCAUUAGGGGACCUGAGAGGGUGAUCCCCCACACUGGCACUGAGAUACGGGCCAGACUCCUAUGGGAGGCAGCAGUAGGGAAUAUUGGUCAAUGGGUGCGAGCCUGAACCAGCCAUGCCGCGUGCAGGAAGACGGCCCUUCUGGGUUGUAAACUGCUUUUUGACAGGGAUAAAAUAUCCUUGCGAGGAGAAUUGAAGGUACCUGUCGAAUAAGCCACGGCUAACUACGUGCCAGCAGCCGCGGUAAUACGUAGGUGGCGAGCGUUGUCUGGAUUUAUUGGGUUU